Molecule: ribosomal RNA, 448 nt
Filed under: Bacillus subtilis
Lineage: Bacteria; Bacillati; Bacillota; Bacilli; Caryophanales; Bacillaceae
Description: bacterial SSU rRNA
Rfam family: Bacterial small subunit ribosomal RNA
Source: RNAcentral
GACGAACGCUGGCGGCGUGCCUAAUACAUGCAAGUCGAGCGGACGGAUGGGAGCUUGCUCCCUGAUGUUAGCGGCGGACGGGUGAGUAACACGUGGGUAACCUGCCUGUAAGACUGGGAUAACUCCGGGAAACCGGGGCUAAUACCGGAUGGUUGUUUGAACCGCAUGGUUCAAACAUAAAAGGUGGCUUCGGCUACCACUUACAGAUGGACCCGCGGCGCAUUAGCUAGUUGGUGAGGUAACGGCUCACCAAGGCAACGAUGCGUAGCCGACCUGAGAGGGUGAUCGGCCACACUGGGACUGAGACACGGCCCAGACUCCUACGGGAGGCAGCAGUAGGGAAUCUUCCGCAAUGGACGAAAGUCUGACGGAGCAACGCCGCGUGAGUGAUGAAGGUUUUCGGAUCGUAAAGCUCUGUUGUUAGGGAAGAACAAGUACCGUUCGAAUA